AUACGGAGGGUGCAAGCGUUAUUCGGAAUCACUGGGCGUAAAGGACGCGUAGGCGGGAAGCCAAGUCUGAUGUGAAAUCCUACAGCUCAACUGUAGAACUGCAUUGGAAACUGGUUACCUAGAGUAUGGGAGGGGGAGAUGGAAUUAGUGGUGUAGGGGUAAAAUCCGUAGAUAUCACUAGGAAUACCGAAAGCGAAGGCGAUCUCCUGGGACAUUACUGACGCUGAGGCGUGAAAGCGUGGGGAGCAAACAGGAUUAGAAACCCCAGUAGUCC
This 274-nucleotide ribosomal RNA is filed under the name uncultured bacterium. Its description in RNAcentral is "partial 16S ribosomal RNA". It matches the Rfam family "Bacterial small subunit ribosomal RNA", at positions 523 to 796 of the family's 1533-position model. The record is from RNAcentral.